Molecule: ribosomal RNA, 509 nt
Filed under: uncultured bacterium
Lineage: Bacteria
Description: bacterial SSU rRNA
Rfam family: Bacterial small subunit ribosomal RNA
Source: RNAcentral
AUUGAACGCUGGCGGCAUGCCUAACACAUGCAAGUCGAACGGCAACAUGGUCUAGCUUGCUAGACUGAUGGCGAGUGGCGAACGGGUGAGUAACGCGUAGGAAUAUGCCUUAAAGUGGGGGACAACUUGGGGAAACUCAAGCUAAUACCGCAUAAUCUCUGAGGAGAGAAGCUGGGGACUUUCGAGCCUGGCGCUUUAAGAUUAGCCUGCGUCCGAUUAGCUAGUUGGUAGGGUAAAGGCCUACCAAGGCGACGAUCGGUAGCUGGUCUGAGAGGAUGGCCAGCCACACUGGAACUGAGACACGGUCCAGACUCCUACGGGAGGCAGCAGUGGGGAAUAUUGGACAAUGGGGGCAACCCUGAUCCAGCAAUGCCGCGUGUGUGAAGAAGGCCUGAGGGUUGUAAAGCACUUUCAGUGGGGAGGAGGAUUGACAGGUUAAGAGCUGGUUAAUUGGACGUUACCCACAGAAGAAGCACCGGCUAACUCCGUGCCAGCAGCCGCCGUAACAC